This 305-nucleotide ribosomal RNA is filed under the name uncultured bacterium. Its description in RNAcentral is "partial 16S ribosomal RNA". It matches the Rfam family "Bacterial small subunit ribosomal RNA", at positions 508 to 807 of the family's 1533-position model. The record is from RNAcentral.
ACAGCAGUCGCCGCGGUAAUACGGAGGAUCCAAGCGUUAUCCGGAAUCAUUGGGUUUAAAGGGUCCGUAGGCGGUCUUGUAAGUCAGUGGUGAAAGCCCAUCGCUCAACGGUGGAACGGCCAUUGAUACUGCAGGACUUGAAUUAUUGGGAAGUAACUAGAAUAUGUAGUGUAGCGGUGAAAUGCUUAGAGAUUACAUGGAAUACCAAUUGCGAAGGCAGGUUACUACCAAUUGAUUGACGCUGAUGGACGAAAGCGUGGGUAGCGAACAGGAUUAGAUACCCCUGUAGUCCCUGUCUCUUAUAC